This is a long non-coding RNA of Stylophora pistillata, 605 nucleotides long. The record is from RefSeq and is a predicted model, not a curated record. NCBI's taxonomy places the organism in Eukaryota, Metazoa, Cnidaria, Anthozoa, Scleractinia, Pocilloporidae.
AGCAUGCCAAGACAUGUCUCGCAAAAAAGUUGUCUAUUUCUUACAAUAUUUAUCAUACUUGCUACUACUACGACCCUAUGGAAAUAUCAUUACUCAAUUGGCAAAACUGCCCUAGAUUGAACUCUCUACAAUGCCAUAUAUUUUUUAUGAUAAUUCCUGACCUAUUGAUUGAGUUCUCAGUCUUAGAUUGUUCACAAUACCUACAUGAGCAUAUACUUACACACCUAUCACACCUUUGUUUAAUUAGAAACACUCUCUAAUAACAUUGUAUUUAUCCUGUAGGAUUACAAUGAAUAUUUCAGGGAUCUCAAUCAUAUAUGUGUUAUCAGUGAGAAUGGAAAACAAAAGUAUGCCACUGGAUCCUAGGGAAAACAGCUGUUAUCUACAGACUGCCCAUAAUGGUUCAUUCAAUCCAGAAGACCUUUCCAUUGAAAACCCAACCAUGAUAAAACACUCACAUCCUUGGACUUCAUAAUCUGGUCAAAUACAAAAUGAUUUUCUAGUGAAUCAGCACCCAUCAUAUUUCUCGCAGAAACAUCGCGAUCUAUUGUAAAACCAAAGUCUUUAGAGAACUUCUAAUAAAAUGUAGCAAAACCUCACAAGAA